ACGCUAGCUACAGGCUUAACACAUGCAUGUCGAGGGGCAGCAUGGCCUAUCUUUCGGGAUGGGCCGAUGGCGACCGGCGCACGGGUGAGUAACGCGUAUCCAACCUUCCCUUUACUGGGGUCCAGCCCGUCGAAAGGCGGAUUAAUCCCCCAUGUUCUCCGUCCCGGACAUCUGUGUCGGAGCAAAGAUUUAUCGGUAAAGGAUGGGGAUGCGUCCGAUUAGCUUGUUGGCGGGGUAACGGCCCACCAAGGCAUCGAUCGGUAGGGGUUCUGAGAGGAAGGUCCCCCACACUGAAACUGACACACGGUCCAGACCCCUACGGGAGGCAGCAGGGAGGAAUAUUGGUCAAUGGCGGAAGGGCGAAACCGCCAAGUAGCGUGAGGGAAGAUUCCCUUAGGGGUGGAAACCUCUUUAUGGGGGAUAAAGGGUCCACGGGGGAGUUUGCAGGUUCCGCAUGAUAAGGCCCGGCUAUUCCGUGCCAGCAGCCGCGGUAAUACGGAAGGUCCGGGCGUUAUCCGGAUUUAUUGGGUUUAAAGGGAGCGUAGGCCGGUCUUUAAGCGUGCCGUGAAAUUUUGUGGCUCAACCAUGAGAGUGCGGCGCGAACUGGAGACCUUGAGUGCGCGGAAGGCAGGCGGAAUUCGUGGUGUAGCGGUGAAAUGCUUAGAUAUCACGAAGAACCCCGAUUGCGAAGGCAGCCUGCCGCAGCGUUACUGACGCUGAAGCUCGAAAGCGCGGGUAUCGAACAGGAUUAGAUACCCUGGUAGUCCGCGCGGUAAACGAUGGAUGCCCGCUGUCGGCGAUAUACAGUCGGCGGCCAAGCGAAAGCGUUAAGCAUCCCACCUGGGGAGUACGCCGGCAACGGUGAAACUCAAAGGAAUUGACGGGGGCCCGCACAAGCGGAGGAACAUGUGGUUUAAUUCGAUGAUACGCGAGGAACCUUACCCGGGCUUGAAUUGCAGAGGAAAGAUCCAGAGAUGGUGAUGCCCUUCGGGGCCUCUGUGAAGGUGCUGCAUGGUUGUCGUCAGCUCGUGCCGUGAGGUGUCGGCUUAAGUGCCAUAACGAGCGCAACCCCUUUCCCUAGUUGCCAUCGGUUCUAGCCGGGCACUCUGGGGACACUGCCUCCGCAAGGAGUGAGGAAGGUGGGGAUGACGUCAAAUCAGCACGGCCCUUACGUCCGGGGCUACACACGUGUUACAAUGGGUGAUACAGAGGGCCGGCCGCUGGCAACAUCGGUCCAAUCCUUAAAGUCAUCCUCAGUUCGGACUGGGGUCUGCAACCCGACCCCACGAAGCUGGAUUCGCUAGUAAUCGCGCAUCAGCCAUGGCGCGGUGAAU
This 1334-nucleotide ribosomal RNA is filed under the name uncultured bacterium. RNAcentral describes it as "bacterial SSU rRNA". It matches the Rfam family "Bacterial small subunit ribosomal RNA", at positions 33 to 1367 of the family's 1533-position model. The record is from RNAcentral.